AACGAACGCUGGCGGCAUGCCUAACACAUGCAAGUCGAACGAGACCUUCGGGUCUAGUGGCGCACGGGUGCGUAACGCGUGGGAAUCUGCCCUUGGGUGCGGAAUAACUUCCCGAAAGGGAUGCUAAUACCGCAUAAUGUCGCAAGACCAAAGAUUUAUCGCCCAAGGAUGAGCCCGCGUAGGAUUAGCUAGUUGGUGGGGUAAAGGCCUACCAAGGCGACGAUCCUUAGCUGGUCUGAGAGGAUGAUCAGCCACACUGGGACUGAGACACGGCCCAGACUCCUACGGGAGGCAGCAGUGGGGAAUAUUGGACAAUGGGCGAAAGCCUGAUCCAGCAAUGCCGCGUGAGUGAUGAAGGCCUUAGGGUUGUAAAGCUCUUUUACCCGGGAUGAUAAUGACAGUACCGGGAGAAUAAGCUCCGGCUAACUCCGU
Molecule: ribosomal RNA, 432 nt
Filed under: Sphingomonas leidyi
Lineage: Bacteria; Pseudomonadati; Pseudomonadota; Alphaproteobacteria; Sphingomonadales; Sphingomonadaceae
Description: bacterial SSU rRNA
Rfam family: Bacterial small subunit ribosomal RNA
Source: RNAcentral